CAACUUGCACCUAUAGUAGCAGCUUGGGUUGCAAGUUAAGUUGGGGGCCUGGAGUCCUUUCUAUAUAUAUAAAAGAGUGAUGGCAUCACGGCAAUUCACAAAACAACAAAAGUACAGGCCCCCCAACCUCAAAAUUUGACAACACGACCCAUCAUCCACGUCUCAAGGUUGAUACAACAAAAAGAAAAAAAAAUCCUAAUUAGAGGGGGAGCAAUAAUUUUUUUUAUCCAAUUGCUGCCAGUUUAGAGGGCUAAUCUCUGCCCACUUGGUUGCCUAGCAACCAAGGGACAGCCAGGUUUCAGUUCGGGGACAGGCAGAUUUAGGCCUCACUUAGGCUUCUUCCACAGAUUAUCUAAUUUGCACUGGAUUAUAUGGCAGUGUAGACUCAAGGCCCUUCCACACAGCUAUAUAACCCAUUUAUAAUCUUUGCACUGGAUUAUCUUGACUCCACACUACCAUAUAAUCCACUUCAGUGUGCAUUUUAUACAGCUGUGAAGAAGGAGCCUCAUAUAAUCCAGUUCUGAGCAGAUAAUAUAAGAUUAGAAAUAUACAGUAGAGUCUCACUUAUCCAACGUAAACAGGCCGGUAGGAUAAGUGAAUAUGUUGGAUAAUAAGAAGGGAUUCAGGAAAAGCCAAUUAAACAUCAAAUUAGGUAAUCGUUAUACAAAUUAAGCACCAAAACAUCAUAUUAUACAACAAAUUUGACAGAAAAAGUAGUUCCAUGCACAGUAAUGCUAUGUAGUAUUUACAGUAGAGUCUCACUUAUCCACCACUCGCUUAUCCAACAUUCUUAUGUAGUAAUUAUUGUAUUUACAAAUUUAGCACCAAAAUAUCACGAUAUAUUGAAAACAUUGACUACAAAAAUGUGUUGGAUAAUCCAGAACAUUGGAUAAGUGAGACUCUACUGUAUAUACAAGUACUGAUGUUUCUUUUCUUCCAAUUAUGAGGGCCUGCCAUUAUUAGAGACACCUUGCUGCUUGUUGUUACUAGGAAGCUCUUCAUUAAUUGGGAGAUGCCCCUGUUCUGACCUGGGCAUCAGGACUCUGAAAACCCUUGCUGUGAUGGCACAUGCUACUGGCCACUGACUGUGAGAUUCUGUGACUAAUAAUCAAAACAGACUUUCCUGAGCUCAAGGAUUCCAUAACAUGAUUUAAUGUCAAGCAUGAAACCUACUCUUGUCCAGUCUUUUCCCGUGUUUGUAGUCAUAUGCAUAUUUGAGUCAUGUUAUCAAGCCAAUAUGCUGCCAUUUCACUUGUGUGGGCUUUUAUCUAUCAAUUGAUUUCUUAAUGUUUUGGACCACUGAGUCAUUUCUGACUGCAAAGGUCACAGUUACAGAUGGAGACUUUUCUUAAUCACUACAGCAUAUUUCCCCCCCCCCCUUUUCUUGUUUCUUUCACUUCUGUUUCUGGCUUCACAUCUGAAAGAUGUUCUACUUAAUGAAAUGAACCAGGAUCACUAUGUCUAGGAUAAUUAAUGCUUAAGCGAACAAUAGGAUAAUUGAAGAUACAGCAUGGAACUCUUCAUUGAUUGUUUGGUGAAAAUAGCAUGGGCAAUGCCAACUACUAGACUGCAGGUGUAUUGCCCCCCUCCCUAAACAUUUUUGUAUGGCUGCUGUCUCGGGGAAGCACAACAGCCAUGUUGGCUGAGUUUGAGUACCAAAGACAUGCUGUAAUACAGAAGUCAACUUUUAUUAGGAAGUAUUAACAUAAACAGGCAAGGUAUAGUCCUGGGCCACAUGAGGCCUCUAAGCUAUUUUGCAGUUCCCACCUCCUCCAGACUUCUGAUUAAAAAAAGGGCAGGUGAAUAACCUCUCCCGGAAUCCUUUAGGAGUGGUCAUUCACAUUUUACCAUUUACAGUGUGCCCUUGACCAUCAAACAAUGUCCAUAUUUUAAGACCAGAAGUGAGGUUUUGUUACUUUUUAGUGUUUGUGACAUGCAAUCCAUGCAGCCAACAGUGAGCCUGGGAGCAAAAAAAAAAAUGGCUGCUGCUCCUGCUGAUCUCAUAUUUCUUAUGAAUGACAAUUCAGCAAGAGAAAUAAACACUCAAAUAUGCAGGGUAAGUCCUCUCCUGUGAAGGAAGAACUUUGUCUCUCUCUCUCUCUCUCCCCCCCCCACCCGAACUGAAAUGCUAAUAUUUUAUGCCUGAUGAAAUGCCAUUCCCCUGCUCUGAGCAAGUGUGUCAGUUCCAAUAGGCGGUGGUUUGCAGAAUGUCACUGUGCAGAUGUUAUAAAUAAUGCAGUGUGGGCAAAUACCUGCCAGCCAUAAUUCCUAGAGGGACUGGAGAGCUAUAGCUCUAGUCGCUUCAGGAUAUUCCUGCCAACCACGCUUACCACAGAUACACACACACACACGGAGCACUAUUAUUAGUUUCAAAAAUCCUUAUUGUGAUUUUGACUAUUUCUUAAAGCUUUAAGGUACACUAUUAAUUUUCCCCACAGCAUCAAAUACCCAUAUUUUGCUCCUCCAUUAUCUUGAAAAGAAGACUGGUUGGAAAACUUUAUGGCAGUUAUGAAUAUGUAACCUAGAGUUAUGCACUAGUGUCUAUUACAUAUUCAUGUUCCCUUUGUAGCCCCUAGUUUAAUCCCUCAGUUCCUCCUUAUUGGGGAAGGAGUCACUGCAAUUGGUGGAGAUCUAUUUUCCAGUCCACUGGGAAGCAAAUGCUUGAUGUUCCCCUUGACCAAUCUCUGUCUUGAGGGGAUUGUGACAGAGACCAUGAUUCGAUCUGUUACACUAGAGAUCACUUAUGGAAAGAGUGGAAGAAGGAAGAAAUGGCAGUCAGCUGCGUCAUAAGUGAUAAGGAAACAGACCUUUGUCAAUUGCAGCUGCUGCAUCCUGUAAAUGAAGGGGGCAUCAGGCCAUGAUUCACUGCAUACCACCAUAAUUACAGUGCUCACAUAUAUGUAAAUCCCUUAUAUAAUUCUGGCCAUUAGCACAAGACUAUGAUGGAAAAUUUGGCUGUGAUUUGUUAUUUCUAUACAGCUGCUUCAUUUGAAGAGACUGAGAUUUUCAUGGCAAACUUACAUUUUUCUGAUUAUUAACUAUUACUUUCCGUGGUAUCACAUUGACUCAGCAUUGUGACAGCAACAGCUGGAGCUAGUUUGGACAGCAUGUUUUAAGGGAAGUGUAGAUAGUCAAUGGAAUAUAUUUAAAGGGGAAAGAAAACACAGAAGGUUUAUAAUCUACUGCUGACCAGUUCCUUGAAUGUGGUUCAAUAUUAUGGAAAAGCUCAACCAUUUAUCUGUCUUCACUUUUCUCAUAUAGUUUUAAGUGGGCUACUUUUAAUCAAGUAGUGAGUUAUUGUUGCUAAGUUUUUCCUUCUUUUGAUUGAUGUACAGUUAUUCCCCAAGUUACAAACAUUCGACUUACAAACGACUCAUAGUUAACAAUAGGGGUGAGACAACAGGAAGUGAGAGAAAUCUCCCCUUGGAAGGGAAAUUCAUUCCUAGAAGAGUUAUUAUCAUGGGGAAAAGGGGUCUCCACUGAAACUUUAUCAUCAAUCCUUGCUUCCACAACAAGCUCAAUUUUUCAAAAUCCAAUUCUCACAGGAUCAGAAAAUGAGAUGAAAUCUUCUGAACAGGGGCACAGACAGUAAAACAAAAACCACAGGGUGUAACCUUUCCCUGUACUAUACAAAAACACAUAAAGUGUACCUGUUCUGACUUACAAACAAAUGCAACUAAAGAACAAACCUUCAUAAGUUGGGGACUGCCUGUAUUUGAAUUCCUUUUGGAGUUGUCAUUACAUUUUAAUCUCUUUUAUCUCUGUAAUUGAACUUGUUUUAUCUGAUUUAACUAUCUACCACCUUGAAUGUCAUGAAGGCAGGGAGAAAGGUACAGAAUAAUUCUAAUAAACAUUGGCUGACAUCCUGCAUUGUAGUCACAUAUCUAUGAUCUAAGCUAUGGAUUAGUAGUUGCGGUAUCUCAUUUUCAAC
This is a long non-coding RNA of Anolis carolinensis (green anole), 3931 nucleotides long. NCBI's taxonomy places the organism in Eukaryota, Metazoa, Chordata, Lepidosauria, Squamata, Anolidae. The record is from Ensembl.